GAUAUUGACUUGGAGCGUUGAAGGACUGGGUAUUUCUAAAAAUAGAAUUAGCAUGCGUCUCCAAACAAUGCACUGUCCCGCUUCCGAAGCAUCCUUGGUCAAUAUAUCUUUUCUCGGGUCGAUAAAUCCAGGUAUCGACCUAAACCAAAGGCUAUAUAAUUGAAUAAUAUUAAAACAUUCAAUAUAACAAAUCUUUUCUUUAAAUACUACUUACACAGCAUUUUAUGUUUUUGUUCCAUUGAUUACUGAAAUUGGUUUUGUAUAUCCUGAUUAGGGACAGGAUGGGAGUUGUGAGUUUAUGCUACUACUACUACUACUGUAUAUGGUCAUGGUGUCAAUAUCUUAAGACGGUACAGCUGUAUAUUAAAUCAUGACUCCCUGCUACUGAUUUAUGGGGUAAAAGUCCAUAGCGUGAGUUUGCACAUAUCAGCAAGCUUAAAUUGACAAUGACAGUACAAAAAUAUUUCUGACAAUUUGACUUGAAUUCACAAUAAUGGUACAAGAAUAUUUCCCACCAUGUAAUUUGCGCUCUAACUAUGCUCCCUAUGGAAAUUCGUGUCAGUUGUGCAGAUCAAGUGAUAUCAAUGCAAUUUGAGUUUCUACAGGAAAGUGGAUAUUCUAAGUUUAUUCUUCCGAUUCACACAUAACAGGAUUAUAAUGAUCGGGUGUUAGUGGCUUGUUAGCCAAUAUGUUCGGAUGGAGUCAAUCGAAUUUCAGAACUGAAAAUCAGCUAUCCAAUUUGUGUUUGUUUCACUCUGUUUAUACUUACUGCAGACUGGUAGCUGUGCAAUUCUGUAGUAAUAUGUAUUAAGCACAUUUCGGAGAUCGUUAAGGUAGAUUUUGGUAGAACGGGAGUGAUUUGUAAAUUGAAAUUGUUAUAUGAUAUGGACAUAGAGGCAAGUAAUUACCUGCGUCCAGUAUCUGUCCUACUAAAUCUUAUUUCUAAUCUAAAUUCACUUCAGUACUACUACCAUGUUUGUAGAGUGUCAGAAACUUGGUUAAAUUUGAGGAAAUAAAGAGAAUAGAACAAUCAGCGGAGCAUAAUCCAGAGUCACCCUGGCCCAAAGAUCAUCUACCUCUGAUUUACCUGAAAAGGUUUGUGAUUCUGCUCAGUGUUAUAUAUAUUUUUUUGCUAAUAAGUCUUUGCUGUAACAACUGUCGGAUACCAUUAGCUCAGACACGUAGCCCAUCUCCCAGCAUUUGAUUUUUCAUUUUGUCAGAUCUUUUAUGAAAUGUCCAAUUUAUUUUCACAAUCCUUGAAUCAUUUUUCUAUAACCGCCAAGCUGUCCCCCAAACAUUAAGAUGAUUAUUUUUAAAACCGAAUAUAGAAGUUUUGGCUACAGUACUAAAUAAAAGCUAAUCCAAAGUUUAUUUUCUGAAACAUUAUUAUUGUUAAUUUUUUAAUAUAUUUUAUUUUGGUGGGGGCAAUGACUUGGUGAGCAUUAUAAAUGAUGUGUGAUUGUAAAGGCUGUGAAACAGAUUGAAUAUUUCAUUUUCAGAAUUGAAAAUCCAAAUUAAGUGAAAGCUACAAGAGACAUGGCAUUUACUGAUCACAGAUAAAAUGUUAUGUCUGUCCUUCUCAUGAAAUAGUAACAGAAGUUAAAAAAAAAGUUAUGUGUUCAGACGUCCCGUCACAUUUGGGGUUUACAAUGACAUGUUACUAGGUUUCUAAGAGUUGGACAUGAUUGUUUUAUUUUGUUUCAGACUCAUUAAUGAGAAUACAUUUCAGUUUAUAUCUCCUUUACUCAUUCACCCCUACAUAUUUAACUGGACUUGCCCAGUCUUUGAUUUUGUAAGGUUCAAAUUUGCCUUAAGGGGUGAAUGGGUUAAUAAAAAAUAUUAUUAUUUAGUGUAUAUGUGUUUAUAAUAUCAGUAGGUUUCCAUUCUAUGUUUUGUUUACAAAAGUAACAUUCUCAGAGAGACAGGUACAAUUAGACUGACUCUAUAUUAAUUAUGAUAUUCUGAUUAUGAUUUUAAAUGUCAAUUAUUUACACAUGGUAGUGCCAGUUAGUCUAAAUUCAGACUAAAUUCUCAAGUGCUAAUUAUUGCUUUUGAUUUUUUUUUAUGAUUUCUUUAGAAUUUUUAAUUUAUUCAAAAAUAGCCAUCUAUGUUUGUUGUAAAAACUUUAGUAAUUUUUUCUUGUGUUAGAAAUCUGUUAUUGCCUGUUGGGGCUGGUAAUGAUGACAAACUUGAUAUUAAGAGAUGCAUCAGAAUGUUAUUGGUGUAUCUAGAUAAAUAUUUACAGAUUCAGGGCUGAUGAAAAGUGCUGUCUCGUGAUUUUAAAAAGGAAUCAGAAAAUUCCAUAAAAAUACGUUGAAAUGUAUAUAUUAAACAAAUGCAUGUGCAUUUGUACAAUUCAAAAGAAAACCUGAUAUUAAUUAAGUAUCUGGCAAACUGUUCAAUUACGCUUCUUAUAAGCAGUUUUGUCAAAAUUUUUGUUGAGUUAUUUUAGUGAUUUUGCGAUUUUAUGAUACUGUUUCCCAGCUUUUUACCAGGUUAUAUUUUUCAUAUUGUGGUUCAAUUAAGGAUCCCGGUACCACUGCCAAAAACCAAAUAUUGGAAACUGUCUGGUCCGGCAUAAUUAUAGCUUUGGUACAACUCGUCUGUAAAGAAAACCAUAUCUUGCAGAACUUUUACGAGAAAUAAUAGAGAUACACUUGGAUUAGAACUCUUGACUUGAGGUUAUUAUACUAUAUCUCUCUACCUGGUCAACGAAAUGUCCUGGUUCUACUGUGCUAAGUUUUAUCAAAAAGGAAGUUAAGGGGAGGUAACUGUAUAUAGAUAAAACCCACAGUGCAGUGGCACAGAGAUCCUUAACUCAUUCACCCCUGACAUUUCGCAAUGAACUAUUCCAACCUUUGAAUUGGAAGAGUUCAAAUGUGUCUUCAGGGGUGAAAGAGUUAAUUAAAGAUCCACUGAAAAAAAAUUGAAAACAUAUAUAUCAUGAGUAGAAGAUUGUCAGCGUUCUGUUUAAAUUGAUCAAACAACUGAAACUUAAUUAAAGAAAAAAAAAAAAUUCGUAUAUAAAAUAUGCCUGAUGCAGAAAGCUUGUAUAAUAUAUAGUUCUUGUCAUAUUUUAUUAAUGUGACAUGUAUGAUGAUGUGUUUAAUUUAUUCCUCAUUGUAACACUCAAUCAUUUCGUUUUAAGAUUUAUUAAUAUUUUUAAACAUAUAUUACAUAAUGUGCAUACUGAUAAAAUAGUAAACUCCUUUUCAAAGUUGUUUAUAAUUUGUUUUCUAAUUUUGGUUAUAUCUAGAAUUUAAUUCCGUUUUUAUUUUCCAACUUGAAAAUUGCUCAUAUCUUUCGUGUGAGAGAAUAUUUUGUUAAAUGAAAUAUGAUGUAUAUUGAGUAAAUGUUGAAAUGUGAUUGCCUGCAAUCUAAUUAAAAUCAUAUCUUCACAUCGCUCCCGUUUUCUGAUAUGUGUCGUUAUAUCAGAAAACGGGAGCGAUGUGAAGAUAUGAUUUUAAUUAGAUUGUGUUUGCCUGUUGAGCGCGUAGCACUGUGUACGAAUGAUUACACGGAGAGGGAUAUUGACUAGUAUAUGUAUUAUGACUGUGUAUGAAUUCUCGACAAAGAAGUAAAAUUGUCAAAAUCAGUUAUGUUCCUUUUGAAAUCAUGAAAUACGUUUGGGCAGUGCUGAUGUAAAAAAUAUGAACAACAUUGUACAGAUUUGUGACGAUACUAGUGUAAUAUAGAGGGUAUAUAUAUAUAUUUUAUCUAUGACUGUUGUAGUUAACAGUCUCAUAUAUAGUUAUAACAUGGUCAUUGUAUAUAUCAAUAUGCUUUUAUAAAUCAGUUGUCCUGCCAACUCAUGACAAUUUUACUUGAUUCCAUGUGAUUUUCAAGAUUGUUUCAAAUGUGAAAAUCAGCCGAGAAAACAAAAAGAUUUUUAUUUUAAUCUGUUUGUUUGUAAAUAUCAAUGAACGAGAGAAAUAGAUUUCUUUUAAAAUUUACAAGAGGGUUUAUUUCUACUUUUCCUUUUUACAUAAUUAUCACAUGAAAAAAAGUCUCAUUUGAAGUUCCGCUUUUAUUAGCUGGAUUCUGUUUUCUGAUGUAGGAAAGUUUAGACAGUUUGAGUUUUAACAAUUAAUCUUCAGGUUAAUACCAAUAGGCAUAGAAAACGGAUUUUUAAUUAGGAUUUUUCUCACCUCUAUACGGAGCACUGUAAGAGUGGGGUUUCACAUGUGAUAGAUACUGAAAUGAUAAUUUUUAAUGAUGUUCCUUUCAAGCUGUAUGGAUGAAAAGUAUUUAAGAAUCAUGUUACAAAAAGUAUUUCUCUUCAUUUUUUUUUACUAUGUGUUAGGAACAGUUUUUUAAUUACCUCUGAACUAUUCAAGCUUUCGUUUUCAGCCUAAUUUACCUAUAUCAGUGCCAGUGUCAAGUUACAGCCUACCAAGUUGGUAGAUUUAACGUAAUUCAAGGGAAGUCAGUUAUUGAUUUUGUUAUCUUGAUGCUGCUCAAUUUGCCAGAAGAGAAAAUGAACCUAUAGGCUAUGGUGCAUUUUCUCUCAUCUAUUAGCCUUUCAAAUGUUAGUUGUCCUGAACAACUUAAGUGUUUUUAACAAUAAGGUUUGGAAUGAAUGUUUCUGGUCUAAAGGUUUUACAGGAAACAAGUGGCCCUAACUUUGUGGGGGAGAGGAGGGGGGGAAGGAAGAAAGGAAAAGUCAUAAACAUAUAGAUGGAUUUAUCGUCAAAUUUAGAAAUUUCGGCAAAUUGAUACAGAGGAUGCUCUUUGAAUAAGUACUGCUGUUGUUAUUGCUAAGGUCAUAUGAAAUGCACUAUUGCUGACCUGAUCUUCAAUUGUCAGAAGUAUUUUAAAGGUCUUUUCUUAUUCAGAAAGUAUAUAAACAAGUAGGUGAUACAGGUCCCCUGAGGCCUGUUUUUCAGCUGAUAUGCUUUGGCUUUUUAGAAGAUGCUGCGUCAUCAAUCCUUAUCAAGUAGUAUGCGGGUAGUUUGGAUGAAACAUUAUUUAUGCAUUGUGUUGGUGUGGAAUAAGCCUAGGUUAAGUAGCUAUCGGUGUAUGCCAUCAAAGACUCGGGUACAUGUCUUAUUACAGCUUCAAAACUAAUUUUUGAGCGUCAAUAUAUAUGUAGUCAAUUACAUAAAUUAGCCUUGUAGAUUGUUCUUGUUUCAUAAAAUGCCACACGUUUCCUGUCUUUUCAUUUGUAGCUAAAAAAGAUUAAGUCUCCUGUUUUCCUUAUUAACAUGUAAGAAUAUUUUUUAUUCUUGGGUUUCACUUUUGAUUAGAAGCUAAGAUGAUCAACUAACACAGCUUCAAUGCACAGUAAACAUAAUUACAUCUUUGAAACUUGAUAUUAUUAUUUAGUUUCUUGCAUUUAUACGAUUCCAGAAAAAAACUGCCAUUUCUUUUUGUGGAGAUGAUCGUUGCUACUACGGGGCAGUGUCCUGUUGUUGGACAGAUGCUACCCAAAUUGGCACGCCACUUCAAAUUGGUACAAUGCCAGAAAUCGCUUCAAAACACACAUUCUUAAUGACAUUUGUACAAUAUGUUUCUAACGGUAUAACAAUAUUGGAAAUGUCACAUUGCAUGCAUGAAAAUAUCUCCUAGGCAAAUGCAUUUGAUUUCAGUACAGUUUUGAAAAAAAAAAAAAAAAAAAUCGUCAAAAUUUUCCAAUGGUUUGGAAACAACUGAAAUGUGAAUCUUUCCUUAGCACCGACAAACACGUAAUCAUCAAUUUUGACAUCAUUUCUAUUCCUUAUUAUACUCCCCCGCAAUGAAGUUAGGGGGGUUAUACUAGAAUCAGGUUGUCCGGCCGGCUGUCUGUCCUUCCUUCUGUGGAUGUAGUGUAGUACGGUGUACUCCUCCUAAACUGUUGUAUGGAUUUCAAUGGAAUUCGCUGAUAACAAUCCUUGCAGCUUGGAGAUAAAGGUAAAGUUCUUUUUUAUUGGGUUAUCUCCCCUUUUUACGAAGCUAUGGCCCUUGGUUCAUAAACCUUCUCUAGACCAUGAAAACGCAAGAACUGUUUACAUUUUUAUUCAAUUCCUUUCAAAUUUGUUAUGGUAGUACUAGAAGCAAUAAUGUUUACCAUAUAUAACUCUUUUUUGUUGUUGUCAGGAUUCGACUUUCCAAGUUUUGAACUUUUACCAAUACUGUACCAGAUACACUGUACAUACUCCUCCUAAAUUACGGGAUGGAUUUCAAUGAAAUGGAUGCAAUGUAGUACCGUGUUCUCCUCCUAAACUACUUGAUGGAUCUUAAGGAAAAUUACUGAUACCAAUUCAUACAGCUUGUUCGUUCUGACUCUUUUAAAAGGAGUUAUGGCAUUUUGUUGAAAAAAAACAUUUGUCUGCCUCCUAAACUACUGGGCCGAUUUCAAUGAAAGUUAACAGAUAUGGUAAUUACCCCCGAUGUCGUGCAUCUGGGAAGUAUCUUUUCUUUUCUUCAUUUUGACCCUUUUUAAGUAGUUAUGGCACUUUUAAAAAAAAUCUUUGUCAUGACAACUCAUCCUUAACUACUAGGAGGCGUUCAGUAAAGCUGGUUCAUCUAGGCUAACAAGAUUUGGUUUGUAAGUAUGUCAGUGACCUAUAUACUCCAAUAAGUGUACAAGCUCAGUCAAUAAAAAAAUCAUUACUUGUGGGAGAAUAUGGAUUGCUUUGCAAUGCUAUCCCUUAGUAUAGGAGCGGGGGUAUAAGUUAGCCUUUGGCUUACAGUUCUAGUUAAAAACGACGUUUUUGAUGAGUAUGUCUCAAUGUAAUAGGAAGUCUGUUUGUGUUGGUUGAUAGUUGGAAAUAAUCAGUUUAAGCUUGUUCAUCUACCUCAGGAAAAGUCCACACUGCAUUAAUCAGAAGUGUGGUCACGUAACGUGCUUUACCCAAAUAACACAAUCGACAACGACUUUGCAUGACAUGAUACAUAUUUUUCUAAGGUUUUUAUGAAUUCAAAAUUUUCCAUUAAUUGGGGACUAUCAUUAUUUGAGACUUUUGAUUAUCAUGCUAUUAUUCAUUUUGAACAGUAAUGAAAUUUUACUAAAAUAAAAUGAUCCACAAGGUGUAAAACACGGUAAUCAAAAGAUCAUAGAAUAUUGAAAUGUGUAUACUACAUUCGGAUGCUACGUUUUGACGUAUUUCCGUGUGAAAUGGUAAUCAUACAAUUUUGCAAAUACAUGUUUAAUAUAUAUCUAUAUCUAUAUAUAUAAAGCCUAAUAUGUCAUCAUAAUUGAUUGAUACAAUAUUAGUUUUAAUUCAGACCAUUUGUGUAAGCUAUUUUUGCAUAAGGAACACGAGUGUAACAAUUUGAAAAAUAACAAUAUUGCUUUUCAAACGAUAUUACAAUUUAAGCACGAUAUUUUGGUUUACCGUAUUAAAAAAUGCAUAGCAUGAAUUGGUUAAUAUUUAUUCUUAACAGAUCAAAAUAAAAUUCGAUACAUCAUUGAGUUUAAAUUGAUUUUAGUUCAGGAUAUGUAUUUUUAGCGUCGAGCGUUUUGAUUUGGGAAUAUAUUUUAUUGCAGACUGUUACGACUGAUAUUAUGUUGAUUUCUGCUGUGUGUGUCGGUGAUGGACGCACGAUGGAAUAUUACCUCUUUUGUAGACUAAAUUAAUUCCUUUACAGACGUUUUUUUCCUGUUAACUUACGUUUAUUUUACUGGAUGAGAACACCUGUAUGCAUGUUGAUUCGUUGACCGAGAGUUUUACAAUAUAAUAGUGCUAUGUACUGUAAAAUAGUAGUAUUUUGUAUUCAUCUGUAUUUGUUGAUCGUCAUUUUAGUUUUUUGAACACUUCAAGCUUUUAUUAUCAAAAAAACAUCCUAAGUGCUAUGACAUGUAAUGCCAUCUACGUGUUUACUAUUUUCCAGUGGUAUAAUGUUAUGUACACUUUUCAGUGUUGUCAGAAGCAUGUGUUAUUUCUCUGGGAAAUUCAUGUAUAUCAUUUAUCUAAGGACUAAAAUUGCCUUUUUUUCAUAAAUAACAACCUACAAUAGUAUGUUUAGUAUAAAAAAGUGUUUCGGUUUCAUAAAGCGGACGACCCCAUUUUAGAGUGGUGGUACGUAUGCUAAAAUAUCGAUCCUUCAAUAUUCUACAGUCAAUAUUUGCUAAAUUUCGUUAUUAACUCCAUGUAUAUAUACAAUUACAGUCAAUUUUCUUCUGUAAUAACUAACCCGGAAUAUGUAGGGAUUAGUUUUGUCCAAUGAAAGUUAAUUGUACAACGGACAAUACAUAAAUACAACCUUUAUCCAUCCAACAACAAUGCUUUCACUUAAAAUGACAUCGCUGUACUUGUAAAGUUUGAUUAUAAUUAUCAUUUGAACACAUUGAAUUAAAUUAUUGAUUUAAAACGUGUGGUAUGUCUUUUAAAGUUGGUUUGGUAUAUGUCUUGUCAUUGUUCGUUUUCCGACAUGGUUGUUGUCUAAACGCACAGUAAACAUAUACAUGCCUUCAUAGAAAAGCAAGCCAGAUCAGAUAUCGAUACAAUGUCGCCUAAUCCAUGUUUCACUUAUACAAUGUUAUUUUGUUACAUAAUAUACAAUGACGUAUUGUUAAUAUUAGCACCCUGAAUUGUUGUGCUUUGAAUAUGACAUAUGUAUAACAUGUUGCAUUAUUGAUAUCAUAUUGACAGUAUACCAUGUUUUGUUAUUGAUAUCAAAUUCAGACAAUGUUUUACUAUUGAUAUCAACUAAAUACAAUGUUGUAUUCGUGACAUCAAAUAUAGUAAACCUUGCUCGUUCUGAAGGAUUUGGACAAUUUAACCAGGAAUGUCUAUAGAUGAAGCACGCAAGAGACAUAAUUCACCUAUGGAAGUUUGCUAAAAGUGGCAUAGUACCCCACAAGAAAAAAUUAAGACUAAUGUCUUGGGCUAAUAAUUUUCGAGCUAAACCUUGAGGAAAUACAUCAAAAAUAAAUCAUUAAAAGGAAAUGUGAGUUUUCAUUAACUCAAUAUUAGCUAUCUUUCUUAGUGGACCGGUAAGGGCCAGAAUUCCAUUUAUUAGUGGACCGGUUAGGGCCAGGAGUCCAUGUUGGUAAGGCCAGAUGUAUAUGAAGUUUUGCCGGAUACAUAAAGAAGAUAUUAGCUAUAAGCGAGAAGGCAAAUCAAACGAGAAG
Molecule: long non-coding RNA, 9055 nt
Organism: Mizuhopecten yessoensis (Yesso scallop)
Lineage: Eukaryota; Metazoa; Mollusca; Bivalvia; Pectinida; Pectinidae
Exons: 2
Source: RefSeq, a predicted model, not a curated record